UACGUAAGGUGCGAGCGUUAAUCGGAAUUACUGGGCGUAAAGCGUGCGCAGGCGGUUCGCUAAGACCGAUGUGAAAUCCCCGGGCUUAACCUGGGAACUGCAUUGGUGACUGGCGGGCUAGAGUAUGGCAGAGGGGGGUAGAAUUCCACGUGUAGCAGUGAAAUGCGUAGAGAUGUGGAGGAAUACCGAUGGCGAAGGCAGCCCCCUGGGCCAAUACUGACGCUCAUGCACGAAAGCGUGGGGAGCAAACAGG
RNAcentral lists this ribosomal RNA (253 nucleotides) under uncultured bacterium. RNAcentral describes it as "partial 16S ribosomal RNA". It matches the Rfam family "Bacterial small subunit ribosomal RNA", at positions 524 to 776 of the family's 1533-position model. The record is from RNAcentral.